This 1526-nucleotide ribosomal RNA is filed under the name metagenome. RNAcentral describes it as "bacterial SSU rRNA". It matches the Rfam family "Bacterial small subunit ribosomal RNA". The record is from RNAcentral.
AGAGUUUGAUCCUGGCUCAGAACAAACGCUGGCGGCGUGCUUAACACAUGCAAGUCGAACGAUUAAAGCCGGGCUUCGGCCCGGUGUAUAAAGUGGCGGACGGGUGAGUAACACGUGGGUAACCUUCCCUCUUGUCUGCGGACAACACUUCGAAAGGGGUGCUAAUACCGGAUAAGACCACGAUUCCACGGAAUAGUGGUAAAAGGUGGUGGAAUCAAUACGAUGCCAUUGCAGGAGGAUGGGCCCGCGCACCAUUAGCUUGUUGGUGGGGUAAUGGCCUACCAAGGCAGAGAUGGUUAGCUGGUCUGAGAGGAUGAUCAGCCACAUCGGAACUGAGACACGGUCCGGACUCCUACGGGAGGCAGCAGUGAGGAAUAUUGCGCAAUGGGGGAAACCCUGACGCAGCAACGCCGCGUGAGUGACGAAGGCUUUCGGGUCGUAAAGCUCUGUCAGAAGGGAAGAAAUAUGCUGUAAGGAAAUGUGCAGCAAGUUGACGGUACCUUCAGAGGAAGCACCGGCUAACUCCGUGCCAGCAGCCGCGGUAAUACGGAGGGUGCAAGCGUUGUUCGGAAUCAUUGGGCGUAAAGGGCGUCUAGGCGGUUAUACAAGUCAGAAGUGAAAUCCCUCGGCUUAACCGAGGAAGUGCUUUUGAAACUGUAUAACUUGAGUACGGGAGAGGGAAGCGGAAUUCCAAGUGUAGAGGUGAAAUUCGUAGAUAUUUGGAGGAACACCGGUGGCGAAGGCGGCUUCCUGGACCGAUACUGACGCUGAAGCGCGAAAGCGUGGGUAGCAAACAGGAUUAGAUACCCUGGUAGUCCACGCCGUAAACGAUGAGUACUAGGUGUUGCGGGUAUUGACCCCUGCAGUGCCGCAGCUAACGCAUUAAGUACUCCGCCUGGGAAGUACGGCCGCAGGGUUAAAACUCAAAGGAAUUGACGGGGACCCGCACAAGCGGUGGAGCCUGUGGUUUAAUUCGAAGCAACGCGAAGAACCUUACCCAGGUUUGACAUCCAGAGAAUUUUAUAGAGAUAUUUAAGUGCCCUUCGGGGAGCUCUGUGACAGGUGCUGCAUGGCUGUCGUCAGCUCGUGUCGUGAGGUGUUGGGUUAAGUCCCGCAACGAGCGCAACCCCUGCCUUUAGUUGCCACCAGGUAAUGCUGGGCACUCUAGAGGGACUGCCGGUGUUAAACCGGAGGAAGGUGGGGAUGACGUCAAGUCAUCAUGGCCCUUACGCCUGGGGCUACACACGUGCUACAAUGGCUGGUACAGAGAGUCGCUAACUCGCGAGGGUAUGCUAAUCUCAAAAACCAGUCUCAGUUCGGAUUGGAGUCUGCAACUCGACUCCAUGAAGUCGGAAUCGCUAGUAAUCGUGGAUCAGCAUGCCACGGUGAAUACGUUCCCGGGUCUUGUACACACCGCCCGUCACACCAUGGGAGUUGUCUGGACCAGAAGUCGUUGAGCUAACCUCUUCGGAGGAGGCAGGCGCCCAAGGUCUGAGUAGCGACUGGGGUGAAGUCGAAACAAGGUA